AUUGAACGCUGGCGGCAUGCCUUAUACAUGCAAGUCGAACGGAAACAGGACGCUAGGAUUCCUUCGGGAUGACUUUGUCGCUGUCGAGUGGCGGACGGGUGAGUAACGCGUAGGAAUUUGCCUCAAAGUGGGGGAUAGCCCGAAGAAAUUCGGAUUAAUACCGCAUGUGCUCUACGGAGGAAAACGGGCCUCUAUUUAUAUGCUCGUGCUUUGAGAUAAGCCUACGUCGGAUUAGCUUGUUGGUGGGGUAAAAGCCUACCAAGGCGACGAUCCGUAGCUGGUUUGAGAGGAUGAUCAGCCACACUGGGACUGAGACACGGCCCAG
RNAcentral lists this ribosomal RNA (325 nucleotides) under uncultured bacterium. RNAcentral describes it as "bacterial SSU rRNA". It matches the Rfam family "Bacterial small subunit ribosomal RNA", at positions 30 to 334 of the family's 1533-position model. The record is from RNAcentral.